CGGAGGGUGCAAGCGUUAUCCGGACUCACUGGGUUUAAAGGGUGCGUAGGAGGGCAGGUAAGUCAGUGGUGAAAUCUCCAAGCUUAACUUGGAAACUGCCGUUGAUACUAUCUGCCUUGAAUACCGUGGAGGUGAGCGGAAUAUGUCAUGUAGCGGUGAAAUGCUUAGAUAUGACAUAGAACACCAAUUGCGAAGGCAGCUCGCUACACGAAUAUUGACUCUGAGGCACGAAAGCGUGGGGAUCAAACAGGAUUAGAUACCCUGGUAGUCCACGCCCUAAACGAUGGAUACUCGACAUACGCGAUACACAGUGUGUGUCUGAGCGAAAGCAUUAAGUAUCCCACCUGGGAAGUACGACCGCAAGGUUG
Molecule: ribosomal RNA, 368 nt
Filed under: uncultured organism
Description: bacterial SSU rRNA
Rfam family: Bacterial small subunit ribosomal RNA
Source: RNAcentral